GGUGACAUAGCUCAAUGGUAGAGCGGGGGCCUCAUACGCCUCAGGUUCUUGGUUCGAGUCCAAGUGUCACCU
Molecule: transfer RNA, 72 nt
Filed under: Bertelyvirus sp.
Lineage: Duplodnaviria; Heunggongvirae; Uroviricota; Caudoviricetes; Jeanschmidtviridae
Also listed under: 5 other names
Description: tRNA-Met
Rfam family: tRNA
About the family: Transfer RNA (tRNA) molecules are approximately 80 nucleotides in length.
Source: RNAcentral